Molecule: ribosomal RNA, 542 nt
Filed under: uncultured bacterium
Lineage: Bacteria
Description: bacterial SSU rRNA
Rfam family: Bacterial small subunit ribosomal RNA
Source: RNAcentral
UAGGGAAUAUUGGGCAAUGGAGGCAACUCUGACCCAGCCAUGCCGCGUGCAGGAAGACGGUCCUCUGGAUUGUAAACUGCUUUUGAAUGGGAAGAAUGUGAUGCUUGCGARCGUUAAUGACGGUACCAUUAGAAUAAGCCACGGCUAACUACGUGCCAGCAGCCGCGGUAAUACGUAGGUGGCGAGCGUUAUCCGGAUUUAUUGGGUUUAAAGGGUGCGUAGGCGGCUUAAUAAGUCGGUGGUUAAAAGUAGCAGCUUAACUGUUUUACAUGCCAUCGAUACUGUUGAGCUUGAGAUAUUUGGAGGCAGCUAGAAUUUCCGGUGUAGCGGUGAAAUGCAUAGAUACCGGAAGGAAUACCAAUUGCGAAGGCAGGUUGCUACGAAUAAACUGACGCUGAUGCACGAAAGCGUGGGGAUCAAACAGGAUUAGAUACCCUGGUAGUCCACGCCGUAAACGAUGAUUACUAGUUGUUGGGGUUUAAGCCUCAGUGACCAAGGGAAACCGAUAAGUAAUCCACCUGGGGAGUACGCCGGCAACGGUG